This is a long non-coding RNA of Topomyia yanbarensis, 3258 nucleotides long. RefSeq lists it as uncharacterized. The record is from RefSeq and is a predicted model, not a curated record. Lineage: Eukaryota; Metazoa; Arthropoda; Insecta; Diptera; Culicidae. The transcript is spliced from 3 exons.
AGUAUACCAAGAAGCGCAGUGCUAGUUCAGCAACACAGAAAUAUACCUCAGAAGAAUCAACUUUCACCGCUGACCAGUGCGGUCGAGAAAAUUUCCGGCGAAUCCAAUGCAGCAACAACGUCCACUUGCAGUACCGCAAUACAAAGCCACAAAGCGAUCCAACAGCGUGGGAAAUUUUAUCAUCGCAAAAUUUUAUAUCAGCACAACAGCUAUACCAAAAGCGAUACCACGUCGAUGGCCGAAAUGAUUUUUGGUUCUGCACCUAUAGUCUUCCAGGACAGCAGUUUGAAGGUACAUUGAUUAAAAACUCGAAAAACCAUUAAGUAUGCUUACGUGUUUCAGUAGCCAACAGUAGCAGCAACAGCAGUAAAAAAGUAUCCACUUCCACCUACUUGGGCUAUGAACUGCCAAGUAUCGGUCAGAAUGCACUAUACAACGGCCGACAUACGUCGGAAAGUGAUCGUAGCUCCAUAGGUACAACGUCACUACGGUCGUUUACUGUUACUUCGUCCACUUUGACGUAAUAUGAUACUUCGUACAACCACAGACAAAGGCCACCACUGCCAAUCGAGUUUGCGCAUUUGGAGCAUCUGGCAGAUCCGAGACUUUCAACCAAAAGUGGCCUUGACUCAGGGUAUGGUGGAACGGAACCUUGGGCGUUUUCAUCAUGUCAACCACGCCAUCGCACCGAAGCAGUCUAGCAUCAAUUUCUAGUGAUUUCGAAGACUUAGUUUAGAUACCAGUAUUGAUAUUCCACAGCCUCUGAAUUGCACAAGUUUAGACAACUAUAGUCAGUAUGGCAGCUUUCAUCGAGGUCAAUACGAACAUUAGCAGUCAAGUGACAGCGAGCGAUGGUUGCGCCGGUGGUAAAAAUCGACGGAAUAGUGAAACCAUAGUACUGACUAGACAAAAAGCGUUUAGUGGGGAAGUUCUUUCCACUGCAACCAAUUAUCACGGGAGACCUUUGCACAAAAAGGCACGUCUAGGAAUUGUGCUGUGCGUUCAACUAAACGAUGACAUGCUGCAGGAAAUUGAAGCAUUCAGCUCGGAACACAUGAGUAUAUUUGAAUCAAUGCUGUGUCGUUUAAGAAUGGCGGCGGAAAACGCAAGCUACAGGUAGCCGCAGUUACUCCAGAUAAUGCUGGCUGCCGGCAUAACGCAGCAGUGCCCAGUGGAUUUUUUUACUGUACCCAAACUGGUAAAUUCCAUGUGGCUAACGCUAAGCAGUGGUGCGUGCACUCUUGGAACUCAAAGCAGUCCAUGUUCUAAUCGGGCUGCGCUUAAAAUUGAUAGUAAUUUUAUGAACGAUCUUUGUUACCUGCUAUUGCUGGCCGACAUUAAGGAUACACAUUUUUUCAUCAGCGCACUACUAACGGCGAUAUUAAAGUACUACCUGGGCUGGGUGAGUACCAUUGCCCCUGUGAGUGGUUCUGCUUACGAAGCAGAUACAGAUUGUGCUACAAUACAGCGAUAGAAGGAGAAGCGGUGCAAACUAACUACCAAUCACCCGUACAUCGUACUGUGGGUCCAAUGUAGCUAUUUGUAUGGAACCGUCGGACACCCGGUGAAACUGUCGAGAAAAAUCUGCAGAAGCCCCCAAUUGAGCAAUACCAUGGAUAAAAUUCUAAAUGAGCUAUCUUACUUCGUAAGAUGUAGCGAGAUCAAGCGGGUUGUCCUCGUAAAGGCUUUCGACGAGUAUAAAGCUGAGCAGGCAUUCGCUGCGCAAAAGAUUAUAAAUAAUUAUUCGCUCCUUAUGUUAAUUGUUAACUUUAACCAAAAAUGCUUUUCCUUGACCUGAUGUACAGUGUAAACUAACAGAUUUUCGUACGUAAUAAAACUGCAAAAUUACGAAAAAUACAAAUUAUAGCAACAGUGUCAUAAGGUUUGGUGGAAAUAACUGUGGAGAAAAUAGAGGAUUACACAAAUCCCCCAGAUUCUUGCGAUCCGGAUCUGCGAUGGUUCGUUCGGCAACCACGACCAAAGACUAAACUUCGAUGGCUGGUAAUGAAUAAGUCUUGCUGAGAGCGAACUGGUCCACGCAAAAGAAUUGUGCAUGUUUGAUUCUAUAAAUUAUUUCUUCAUUUUUAAUCGAUAAAAAUUCUUUAUUGUGAACCAAGGAAUUUAUUAAACCAAACUUAUUUUUUUGGUUAGAUCAACCAAAAUAUCUUUUGAAUCAAUCUUACAAGUUUUGUUAUCUGUGCUUUUCGAAGAUCGACAAAAUUAUUGUUUGUUCCAAACAAAUCAGUGAUUCUAACAAAAGCAUGCAGCUAAUUGAUUCAAAAGGACUGAAUGCAUUACAUCAACAGUCCUUGUUGAAUUGAAACAAAUAAAAAAUAAAAGUUGCUACGAAGAAGAAAAUUUUUUCCACGUGCGUCAAUGCUGGAGAAAUUCGCUAUUUUUAAAUUAGGGAAUUCAGAUUUCGGUAAAUUCUCAUAGUGCUCAGAUUUUCCGGACUCAAAGGGCGCAAGUGCAGCUUGAAAAUAAUCAUGAUGUCGCACAAAGGUUAGUGAAUAAAUUAAGUCGAAUGCACAUGGUGUGUUUUAUGGUGCCUUCCUCUAUUCCAGGACUCAAACAAAACACCCUGUGUGGCUUAAAAACGACAAUCGCAGAACUGAAAACACAUCACCGCACCAGAGAUAAAUAAUACCCUUUUGAGAGAGCAGUUUCCUGUACUUCACCAUCUCUGGUCCAACAGGAAGACAGCGUAUUCGUGCGCCUUCUGCAAUCUUUUUGGAAAAGCCGAGACACUCUGAAGCACUACAUUAUAGCGCAUAUCUGGAAUAAACCACGCGCACGGCCAAAGGUACUACAUAAAGGGACGGUGAUUGGAAUCGUAUGCGCUGCAUGUAAUAAAAUUUCAUUUCGUUCCAAGCAAACCUACUCCGGAACAGGUUUGGAAUCCCUUAUGGAUUCUCGCUCAAAUGCAACAAACGAUUGAGUCGGAAUCGGUUGUUGCCUUUAAGCUCAUAAUGAAUCCAUUCAGAAUUCCUAACCGAUCCCGGAAUGGGUUUGACUGGGCCAUACUGCAUCCAUUCAGGAUUCCGAAGCGGUUCCAGAAUGAUUUGACUGCGUAAAAUUAAUGCGUUUGUAGCCUGUUUUUAGAGAAAGGCCAAUAAGUCAAUGGCAAGUAUUAACUUUGUGAGGUUCAUUUGUACUGAUGUUAUCUGUUGUCAGCGAGUAAUGGUUUGUUCUAAAUUUGUCACCAUGACAGUUGGCCUUUGGUUCCUAUUAAAGAAUAGGCAUAUUUUAUAUACAAUA